CUUUUUAGGGCCACACCCACGGCAUAUGGAGGUUCCCAGGCUAGGGUUCUAAUUGGAGCUACAGCUGCUGGACUACACCACAGCCAUAGCAACGCUGGAUCCUUAACCCACUGAGCAAGGCCAGGGAUCGAACCUGCAACCUCAUGGUUCCUAGUCAGUUUUGUUUCUGCUGUGCCACAAUGGGAACUCCCUGCUCAUCCAUUCUACAUGUCAUAGUUUGCCAUCUGCUAACCCCAAAUUCCCAGUCCAUCUCACUCCCUCUCUCCUCCCCCAAUACAAUACUGUUUUGAUUACUAAAGUUUUGUAAUACAGUUUGAAAUCAGGAAGUGUGAUGCUUCCAGCAUUGUUCUCAAAAUUGCUUUGGUUAUUCAAGGUCUGUUAGGGGUCCAUAAAACAUUUCAGACUGUUCUAUCUCUGUGAAAAAUAUCACUGGAAUUUUGAAAGAGGUUGCAUCAAAUCUAUAGAUAGUUUGGGAGUAUUAUGGACAUUUUAAUGAUAUUAAUUCUUCCAAUAAAUAAAUAUGAGAUAUCUUUCUAUUUAUUUAUGUUUUCUUUAGUUUCUUUCAUCAAAGUCUUGCAGUUUUCAGUGUGCAGAUCCUUCACCUCCUUGGUUAAGUUUAUUACUAAUUAUUUUUAUUUUUAUUUUUUAUUUAUUUAUUUAUUUGUCUUUUUGCCCUUUCUUGGGCCGCUCCCGCGGCAUAUGGGCGGUUCCCAGGCUAGGGGUCAAAUCAGAGCUGUAACCACCAGCCUAUGCCAGGGCCACAGCAACGCAGGAUCUGAGCCGCGUCUGCGACCCACAUCACAGCUCGUGGCAACGCCGGAUCAUUAACCCACUGAGCAAGGGCAGGGAUCAAAGCCGCAACCUCAUGGUUCCUAGUCGGAUUCGUUAACCACUGUGCCAGGACGGGAACCCCCACUAAUUAUUUUUAAAUGUUUUUGAUGCUACUGUGAAUGGGAAUGUUUUCUUUAUUUCUUCUUCAGAUAUUUUGUUCUUUGUAAAUAGUCUAUUAUUUUCCCAUUUGUCUGCAAUACUCUCUAAGUCAUGAGUCAAAUUUUUUAUAUUUGUAUGGAUCUGUUUCCUGGGCUCUUCACUACAUUCCAUUCAUUUCAUUGUCUAUCCCUGCACUAUAUACUCCUAUUUUUUUUAUUUUUUGGCCACACCCACAGCGUAUGGAAGUUCCUGGGCCAGGGAUCAAAUCUGAGCCACAGCUGUGACCUACACCACAGCUGUGGCAAUGCCAAACCCUUAACCCACCGUGCCACAGUGGGAACUCCUAUAUAUUCUCUUUUAAAUUCUAUACUCCGAAUGAGUCUUGAUGUUUGGCACCUUCUUCAGGAGUAGCUUAAAUGUUCUUGGCCCUUUGCUCUUUCACAUAAAUUUGAGAAUCACCUUGUAAAGUCUGAUGAAAAGCCUAUUGGAAUUUUUAUUGGAAUUUCACUGAAUUUUCAGAUUGCAAAAGUUGACAUUUUUACAGGAAUCACUUUCUAUCCAAGGACACAGAAUAUAAUUCUCCAUUUGUUUGAAUCUUUUUAUCAACGUUCAUUAAAAGUAUAUCAUUCUCUUGGAGUUCCCAUCUUGGCGCAGUGGUUAAUGAAUCCGACUAGGAACCAUGAGGUUUCAGGUUCGAUCCCUGGCCUUGCUCAAUGGGUUAAGGAUCUGGUGUUGCCGUGAGCUGUGGUGUAGGUCACAGAUGUGGCUCGGAUCCCGCAUUGCUGUGGCUGUGGUGUAGGCCGAUGGCUACAGCUCUGAUUAGACCCCUAGCCUGGGAACCUCCAUAUGCCGUGGGAAGCCGCCCUAGAAAAAAACAAAACAAAAAAAAAAAGGUAUAUCACUCUCUCCACACAGGUUUUUGUUAAAUAUAUUCUUGAGUAUGUUCUUUUUUUUUUUUUUUUUUUCGUCUUUUUGCUAUUUCUUGGGUCGCACCCGCGGCACAUGGAGGUUCCCAGGCUAGGGGUCCAAUCGGAGCCGUAGCCACCGGCCUACGCCAGAGCCACAGCAAGGCGGGAUCCGAGCCGCAUCUGCAACCUACACCACAGCUCACGGCAAUGCCCAGAUCGUUAACCCACUGAGCAAGGGCAGGGACCGAACCUGCAACCUCAUGGUUCCUAGUCGGAUUCGUUAACCACUGCGCCACGACGGGAACUCCGAGUAUGUUCUUUAUUGUUAUUGCAAAUGAUGUAUUUUUUAUUUUUAAUUGUAAAGUUAAAAAUAGCUAUAAUGAGUAUGUAAACAUAUAUGUACAGUUUAAAGUGUAAUUAAAAAGCUGUCACUCACAUAACCUCCAUCCAGAUGAAAUAAAACUUUGUCCUAUAAAAGUUCCCUGUGCCCACCUCCAAUUACAUCGUCCUUUCUCCACCCAGGAAAUAUUGACAUUCCUUCCCUCAUUUCAUAGUUUUACCACCAUUGCAUGCAACUUUAACGAAUUUAGUUUUGCCUGUUUUUAACCAUAUACAAACAGCAUCAUCCUAUAUGUAUUAUUUUAGACUUCUCUUAGUCAUUUCUAUUUUGGGAGAUACAUCCAUCUUAAUACAUCUAGCUGUUUUUAUUUAGUUUCACUAAUACACAUUUCAUUGUAUGAAUAUAAACCAUAUACAUUUUUUAACCUAUUCUCCUCUUAUUGGGUAUUGUUUUACUUCAAGUUUUUGGUUAGUAAAAACAAUGCUACUACAAAAAUUUAUGCUCAUAAAUAAGAUAUAAGGUAUAUUUUCUGUGACACAAGUACAGAUAUUUUUCUCGGUCAGUGAUAGUUAAAAUGUGGCACCUAGCCAUCCCUGAGACUCCUUUAUGACUGCUAGAAGGGUCUCCCUUUUCCAAGUAUGUACCUUUCUUUUUUUGCUUUUUAGGGCCGAACCUGUGGCAUAUGGACGUUCCCAGGCUAGAGGCUGAAUCAAAGCUGCAGCUGCCAGCCUACACCGCAGUCCACCACUGAGCUUGGCCCGGGAUUGAACCUGCAUCCUCAUGGAUACUAGCUGGGUUUGUAACCUGCUGAGUCACAACGGGAAUUCCCCAAAUGAGUAUCUGAGUUCAAAUUUUCUUCAUAUCCUUCAGCCAAAACAGUAUGUCGCAACAUAUUGAAAGCAGAAGCAGAUGUGAAUACUUACCUGGCAGGAGCAAUACCAUGAUCACAAAGGUGGUUUUCCCAGGGCGAGGCUUAUUCAGUGCUCUCUGGAUGUUCUGACCCUUGUGAUUUCCCAAAUGUAGGAAACUCAACUGCAUAAUUUGUGGUAAUGGGGGAAAAAAAAAGAAGAAGCACAUAUGAGAAUCUAGCUGUCCUUUCUAUUAAGCAAACAUUAAAAAGGUCUUCUAAAAUGUAAAACAGUAGUUGUUUUAUACAAUAUAGUUACUUUAUUAAAAAUUUUGUUUCCAAUGGGUUUAUUAUUUUUAAAAAUUAAUCAUAUAAAUACUGAAAAGUCUUCUGUUUUAACUAGUCAAACAGCAAAUAGCUAUAACCCAAAUAAACAUACUAUUUGGUGUCCUCCACAAUUUUUAAGAGUGUGAAACAGUCCUGAGUUUGGGAACUGUUCUUGUAAGCCAUAGUUUUCAAUCUGGAGCCGCUAUUUAAGGUGUACCCAAGGUAUAGAUAGUUUAGAGUCUAUUUCCAGAUCCCUACUUUCUAUCUGUCCUGUGUCCUAGCUUCAUGGAAUUCUUUCCUACCUCCCCCUUAACAAGUGACAGUCUUGCCAGAGUUGUCUUGCCUGACACCUUCUGGUCAAAACAAAAAGUGCCAGCCUCAAAAUCUAAAGAACAGAUUUCAGCAACUGAGGAGAAAACCCCUGAGCCCAGAGAGGAGCACUUUUUUAGGAAAUGAUGUUUUACCAAUGCCCUGACGCCCCGGAGAUCUGCUGUGGGAUAAAAAAGGACAUUGACUCUAAAGUUGAAGAGUGAUUCAUGUGAGCCACCCUGACACAGUCAUUUAUACUAUAAGGUUAAAAAAAAAAAUCUGUAUCAAAUAACUUUUAAAGUAUUUUCAAUAAGUAUAAUAUUUCAUUUUUCUUUUUUUGUAGGGCUACACCCGUAGCAUAUGGAGGUUCCCAGGUGAGGCUCUAAAAAGACAAAAACAAACAAACAAACAAAAAAAAACCUUUAAAGCAUACAUAUAUUAAGAUAAAACUUGGAGGCAGGGUGGCUUGGAAAUAUCAAUUCAAGGAUAAGCAGUGAUAUAAACCAGAAAUUAAUACAACAGGUAGGAGUUCCUGUUUUGGUGCAGUGGGUUAAGGUCCCAAUGUUGUCUCUGUGAGGAUAUGGGUUUGACCCCUGUCCUUGCUCAGUGACUUAAGGAUCCAGCAUUGCUGCAAGCCGUGGAUGUGGCUCAGAUCCAGCAUUGCUGUGGCUGUAUCUUUGGCCACACCUGCAGCUCUAAUUGGACCCCAGACCUGGGAAUUUCUACAUGCUGCAGGUGC
RNAcentral lists this long non-coding RNA (4400 nucleotides) under Sus scrofa (pig). RNAcentral's name for it is "lncRNA (ENSSSCG00050065084.1)". The stretch from base 3094 to 3277 matches the Rfam family "U1 spliceosomal RNA". The record is from RNAcentral. Lineage: Eukaryota; Metazoa; Chordata; Mammalia; Artiodactyla; Suidae.